GGGCCCGCACAAGCGGUGGAGCAUGUGGUUUAAUUCGAUGAUACGCGAGGAACCUUACCAGGGUUUAAAUGCAGAACGACAGGGGUGGAAACACCCCCCUUCUUCGGACGGACUGCAAGGUGCUGCAUGGUUGUCGUCAGCUCGUGCUGUGAAGUGUCGGGUUAAGUCCCAUAACGAGCGCAACCCCCCAUUUCUAGUUGCCAGCGGUUCGGCCGGGGACUCUAGAGAAACUGCCAGCGUAAGCUGUGAGGAAGGUGGGGAUGACGUCAAAUCAUCACGGCCCUUACAUCCUGGGCCACACACGUGCUACAAUGGUGGGGACAACAGGUUGCCAACCCGCGAGGGUGAGCCAAAUCCCAAAAACCCCAUCUCAGUUCGGAUCGGAGUCUGCAACUCGACUCCAUG
RNAcentral lists this ribosomal RNA (405 nucleotides) under uncultured bacterium. RNAcentral describes it as "bacterial SSU rRNA". It matches the Rfam family "Bacterial small subunit ribosomal RNA", at positions 917 to 1322 of the family's 1533-position model. The record is from RNAcentral.